AUUGAACGCUGGCGGCAUGCCUUACACAUGCAAGUCGAACGGCAGCACGGGUGCUUGCACCUGGUGGCGAGUGGCGAACGGGUGAGUAAUACAUCGGAACGUACCUUAUCGUGGGGGAUAACGCAGCGAAAGCUGUGCUAAUACCGCAUACGCCCUGAGGGGGAAAGCGGGGGAUCGCAAGACCUCGCGCGAUUAGAGCGGCCGAUGCCUGAUUAGCUUGUUGGUGGGGUAAAAGCCCACCAAGGCGACGAUCAGUAGCUGGUCUGAGAGGACAAUCAGCCACACUGGGACUGAGACACGGCCCAGACUCCUACGGGAGGCAGCAGUGGGGAAUUUUGGACAAUGGGGGAAACCCUGAUCCAGCAAUGCCGCGUGAGUGAAGAAGGCCUUCGGGUUGUAAAGCUCUUUUGUCAGGGAAGAAACACCGGCUCUAACACAGUCCGGGAAUGACGGUACCUGAAGAAUAAGCACCGGCUAACUACGUGCCAGCAGCCGCCGUAA
This 501-nucleotide ribosomal RNA is filed under the name uncultured bacterium. RNAcentral's name for it is "partial 16S ribosomal RNA". It matches the Rfam family "Bacterial small subunit ribosomal RNA", at positions 30 to 523 of the family's 1533-position model. The record is from RNAcentral.